Molecule: long non-coding RNA, 463 nt
Organism: Solanum stenotomum
Lineage: Eukaryota; Viridiplantae; Streptophyta; Magnoliopsida; Solanales; Solanaceae
Exons: 3
Source: RefSeq, a predicted model, not a curated record
UUUGUUGCUUAUAAAAGGUUUCUCAUAGUUGAUAGUAGUGCAGAACACAAGGUGGCUGUAAAGGUUUGACACCAAAUUAAGAAAUUAUGGAGGAAGGCAACAGCUCAUUCAAAUUUUCAGGUAAGAAAAAGAAGUCAGAUCUUGCAAAACUUCAAAAGGAACAUGAUGAGAAAAUGGCAGCCAUAAAAGAGCUUAAGAAAAAGAGAGAAGAAAUGAAGCUUCAAUUGUCAAAGGAGAAUAUUUCUGAGGAAAAGAAAGAGACUUUCAGAAAAUUGACUGAGAAAUAUAAAAAAAUGAAUGAUGAAUAUAAUUCCCUUUUAGGUUAGUUUAAAGGGAAAAGAGUAGUAUCUUACUAAUAAAAUUUAUUUUUCGUCGUUUCAUAAUGUAUCGUUUUAUAUUAUACUAGUUAUUAUGUUAUAUAUUGUAUCAUGCAUGUUCUUGAAUCAACAACAAUAUACCUUGU